RNAcentral lists this long non-coding RNA (513 nucleotides) under Physcomitrium patens. RNAcentral describes it as "long non-coding RNA (PPAT_LNC009963)". Lineage: Eukaryota; Viridiplantae; Streptophyta; Bryopsida; Funariales; Funariaceae. The record is from RNAcentral.
GGAGUGCUAAAGUAUCAUUAGGAUAGUAUAAAGUAUCAUCAACAUAGUAUAUUGUAGGGAUAGAGUACCAGAGGCCAGACUAUCGAGGAGGUAGGACAUUCUACAAGCAGGAUAUUGAUGGUGCAGGAUAUUGUUGGAAUAGAGUAUUCACGAUGCAGAUUGUCGAGGGAGUAGGCUAUUCAGGACGAAGGGAUCGAGCGGGCUAAAUAUCGACGGGGUAGAGUAGUAUAGUGGGUGGAGCAUCAAGGGAGUAGGGUAUCGAAGAGGGAGGGACUGUAUUUUGAAUCCGGAGAGGGAUAACGGGGGGUUCACUUUCAUGACAACAAGAUCAGAACUCACAUGCACCCAUUUCUUGAAGGAUCCCAAGUUUGCUUAGGCUGACUUUACGAUUCGCCAGAUGCACGACUUCUCCGACCAGACUACAAAGGUUGCAAAGGGCUACCAUGAAGCAGGUCGUAUCGACGUCUACCUUGUCGGUUGGACUCACGGUGGUGGUAGAUGCGGACUUCGAUC